UACGUAGGGUGCGAGCGUUAUCCGGAAUGAUUGGGCGUAAAGCGUCCGCAGGUGGCAGUUCAAGUCUGCUGUCAAAGACCGGGGCUUAACUUCGGAAAGGCAGUGGAAACUGAACAGCUAGAGUAUGGUAGGGGCAGAGGGAAUUCCUGGUGUAGCGGUGAAAUGCGUAGAGAUCAGGAAGAACAUCGGUGGCGAAGGCGCUCUGCUGGACCAUAACUGACACUCAGGGACGAAAGCUAGGGGAGCGAAUGGG
This 253-nucleotide ribosomal RNA is filed under the name uncultured bacterium. RNAcentral's name for it is "partial 16S ribosomal RNA". It matches the Rfam family "Bacterial small subunit ribosomal RNA", at positions 524 to 776 of the family's 1533-position model. The record is from RNAcentral.